GCCCAAACUCAAGUGUCAGUAGGAGGCAAGCACAGAACCUAGAUGAGAGAAGUCACCUGGAGGGGACCAUGGCAUCAGCAGAGCGCACACAUAUAAAGGGACAGAGGCAAAUCCACUUCUGAUGAGUGUUGCCUUGAUGCUCAGUGCUGUCAGUUUCUCCAAUUUGUAUUAAGAGAAACUGGAUUUUCAUGUGAAACCCUUUUAAAUAUUUGCAAGCGAUUAAACAAACAAAAGCACCAAGUGGUUGUGUGUUAAAAUUGCCAGUCUAGUUAAUAUGCCUUUUUUGUUUUGUUUUCUUUUUAAAGGAAGCUGAGUCUCAGCAAUGAGAAAUGACAGUUACCCAGAAAGUUGUUGGAGAAAAUUGUUCUAGAUAAUUGUCUGGACGGAUAAGAUGGUCAGAAACAAAACUUUUGGAAAUCUAAACUCACACACAGAGGAAGAAACGUCAGGAUAAUAAAACAAACAAGCAAUAAGUGUAGGUCAAGGUAACUGAGUUCUAGUGGCAGAAGCAAAGGUUCCAUAUUCAUAGCUCUAGAAGGUAAUUCAGAGCUUCUAUGCAGUGAGACUUAAAAAUUAACUUCCUUCUCCAGACAAAUUCAUGAAUUGGAGGGAAACAUUAUUACAUGAGGAAAAAAAGAAGAAAACAAAAAGAAAGAAGCCAGGUACUGGUGCCGCAGCCUGCAUUUCCAACCAGUGGUUCCAUAUACUUGCAGAUGGAUGGCUGCUGCCAGUUUCCUUGGGGGUAGAUGCUAAAAAUAAAAUAAAAACAAAAGACUUCUUUGCUUUCUGUUUCCCUCAUCCCUUUGUCCUCUCCCUUUGGGGACAAAAAUGCUCUCCUUCUGCCUCCCACAGGGUGCAGUGGGGCAUUGGAGCUGCCUUCAGUAUCCUCCAAUAAGCAGAGCAGUGGGCCUGGCUUAAUAUCAUGCCCCAUCUCUCCCAGCCUCUUAGAGACCUGGGGAGAAAUGGCCCAGCUGGCAGCAGCUUGAAAGCUGCUGUCUGCCUCUCAGCGGCAAGUCUUCUCACAAAUUGGCCAGAGGCUGCCAUCUGAGUGGAGAGGGAGUAGGGCCAACAACUUCAGUUCCUAUUAGGCUCUCCCCUGCAUGAGUAAUGUCAAGAAAGCAAGAAGCAUUUUUGUCUUAGUAGCUCUAAGUUUUAUUGGAGACAUGUGCCUUGGAUUUGCAGGUCAAGAAACCUUGAGUUGAACUCUCUAAUCUACUAUAUGCAUUCACUUCCUCAUGCAGCCCUUGUGUAUUGAGCAUUGAACACCUCCAGGUAUGGUGUUAGUUAUAGGGGGUACAAGACAUGGAAAAUCUGACCUUGGCUCUCAAGGAGCUAACAGACUAUAGGGGAACACAAGUCUAUUGCAGACAGCAUAGUAACAUGAGUGCAGUGUAUAAAAAGAGAAUGGGAUGGCAUUUAGGAAAGUCUCUGAGUGAUAUCAAUAAAGGGAAGCAAGAGGUUACCUGGCCAUGUGUGUGGGGAACACCAGGGCAGCAUAUUUCCUGCAGAGAAAACUACCCCUUCCACUUUCAUUUUUAAACUCAGUCUGCUAUGACUGCCACAGUUGAGCCUUGUCCACAGUCAAUAUUUGGAUAAAAAAGAACAUGCAUCACAUGGCCCUGUUCAGCAAUGUUGCCCUGACUCUCCAUACCUGCCUGCGUCUCUGGCCAGCACAUUGCCCUGUUCUUCUCUGUGUUUCUGUUAUUAUCAGGCAGGCUGUCUCCACAUGAGAGCUCCCAGAAACUCUAGCCUACUCUCAUAUUCUCUAGCUAGCAAUCUCAGCAAUACAAAAGCCAGUUUUUCCCGAAGUCCCGGCAAAAAUCCCAAACCCUGAUUCUAAUCAGGGUUGUAUCCUUAGUCCUGAAAAAGAUCCUUGAGGCAAAGGAAUAUGCUCAUCGGUCAAGUCUGGGUCAGUCUCACCUCCAUACAGAUGCUAAGAUGGUUCUUUGCUGCUGUUAACAAAAUUUGGAGGAAUAGAUGUGGACAGCCAAAAAUAAAAACUGCACACUAUUUGUCAUAAGCUCUUAGCUUCUGUUUUCUAUCCAUUGGACUAGAUAAAUGCUCUUUAGGGGAGUCUAGACAAGGGCCAGAGAGCAGGGAUUGGAAAGAGGAUGAAAAGAAGGAAACAGGGAAUAAUCAUGUUGGUAAAGCACAAUGAAAGAAGGCAGCAACAAUUACAUCUUUUAAGGUAAUUCAACAGACAUUGAUAUGUCUCAGAUGUGUUCAAAACUUUAUUUCUAAUUGGACCUACAAGGCAAGACUUGUGAUUUCAUGGAAUUUACAUUCUAAAAGGAAGAUGGAUAUAGCUGUAGUUCUAGAUGUUGAUACAAAUAUGCAUGUAGAUAUAGAUAGAUGGAUAAGAUAGAUAUGCAAGUAGAUGUGGGAGGAGGGAAAAGGAAGACAAAUCAAGAAGAGGCCCCAGGUGUGACCUUAGGGAAUUUGCC
Pan paniscus (pygmy chimpanzee) is the source of this 2444-nucleotide long non-coding RNA. The record is from Ensembl. NCBI's taxonomy places the organism in Eukaryota, Metazoa, Chordata, Mammalia, Primates, Hominidae.